UACGUAGGUGGCGAGCGUUGUCCGGAAUUAUUGGGCGUAAAGAGCAUGUAGGCGGUUUUUUAAGUCUGGAGUGAAAAUGCGGAGCUCAACCCCGUAUGGCUCUGGAUACUGGAAGACUUGAGUGCAGGAGAGGAAAGGGGAAUUCCCAGUGUAGCGGUGAAAUGCGUAGAUAUUGGGAGGAACACCAGUGGCGAAGGCGCCUUUCUGGACUGUGUCUGACGCUGAGAUGCGAAAGCCAGGGUAGCGAACGGG
This 252-nucleotide ribosomal RNA is filed under the name Phascolarctobacterium succinatutens YIT 12067. RNAcentral's name for it is "partial 16S ribosomal RNA". It matches the Rfam family "Bacterial small subunit ribosomal RNA", at positions 524 to 776 of the family's 1533-position model. The record is from RNAcentral. Lineage: Bacteria; Bacillati; Bacillota; Negativicutes; Acidaminococcales; Acidaminococcaceae.